Molecule: ribosomal RNA, 560 nt
Filed under: uncultured Methylophilus sp.
Lineage: Bacteria; Pseudomonadati; Pseudomonadota; Betaproteobacteria; Nitrosomonadales; Methylophilaceae
Description: bacterial SSU rRNA
Rfam family: Bacterial small subunit ribosomal RNA
Source: RNAcentral
CCGGAGCUGGGCGCAGCCUGAUCAGCCAUUCCGCGUGAGUGAAGAAGGCCUUCGGGUUGUAAAGCUCUUUCGCAAGGGAAGAAAACUUACAUUCUAAUAAAGUGUGAGGCUGACGGUACCUUGAUAAGAAGCACCGGCUAACUACGUGCCAGCAGCCGCGGUAAUACGUAGGGUGCGAGCGUUAAUCGGAAUUACUGGGCGUAAAGCGUGCGCAGGCGGUUUUGUAAGUCAGAUGUGAAAUCCCCGAGCUCAACUUGGGAACUGCGUUUGAAACUACAAGACUAGAAUAUGUCAGAGGGGGGUAGAAUUCCACGUGUAGCAGUGAAAUGCGUAGAGAUGUGGAGGAAUACCAAUGGCGAAGGCAGCCCCCUGGGAUAAUAUUGACGCUCAUGCACGAAAGCGUGGGGAGCAAACAGGAUUAGAUACCCUGGUAGUCCACGCCCUAAACGAUGUCUACUAGUUGUUGGUGGAGUAAAAUCCAUGAGUAACGCAGCUAACGCGUGAAGUAGACCGCCUGGGGAGUACGGUCGCAAGAUUAAAACUCAAUAAAAUUUGACGGA